CAUCGAUGAAGAACGCAGCGAAAUGCGAUAAGUAAUGUGAAUUGCAGAAUUCCGUGAAUCAUCGAAUCUUUGAACGCACAUUGCGCCCGCCAGUAUUCUGGCGGGCAUGCCUGUUCGAGCGUCAUUUCAACCCUCAAGCCCCCGGGCUUGGUGUUGGGGCUCGGCCCGUCCCUAGCGGCGCGCCGUCCCCGAAAUCUAGUGGCGGUCACGCUGUACUCCUCUGCGUAGUAAUCUAACCUCGCAACGGGACAAAGCGCGGCCACGCCGUUAAACCCCCAACUUCUGAAGGUUGACCUCGGAUCAGGUAGGAAUACCCGCUGAACUUAAGCAUAUCAAUAAACGGAGGAA
This 348-nucleotide ribosomal RNA is filed under the name Fusarium merismoides. RNAcentral's name for it is "eukaryotic LSU rRNA". The stretch from base 1 to 124 matches the Rfam family "5.8S ribosomal RNA", at positions 31 to 154 of the family's 154-position model. Lineage: Eukaryota; Fungi; Ascomycota; Sordariomycetes; Hypocreales; Nectriaceae. The record is from RNAcentral.